GAUGAACGCUGACAGAAUGCUUAACACAUGCAAGUCAACUUGAACUUCGGUUUGGGUGGCGGACGGGUGAGUAACGCGUAAAGAACUUGCCUCACAGUUAGGGACAACAUUUGGAAACGAAUGCUAAUACCUGAUAUUAUGAUUUUAGGGCAUCCUAGAAUUAUGAAAGCUAUAUGCGCUGUGAGAGAGCUUUGCGUCCCAUUAGCUAGUUGGAGAGGUAACGGCUCACCAAGGCGAUGAUGGGUAGCCGGCCUGAGAGGGUGAACGGCCACAAGGGGACUGAGACACGGCCCGUACUCCUACGGGAGGCAGCAGUGGGGAAUAUUGGACAAUGGACCAAGAGUCUGAUCCAGCAAUUCUGUGUGCACGAUGAAGUUUUUCGGAAUGUAAAGUGCUUUCAGUUGGGAAGAAAAAAAUGACGGUACCAACAGAAGAAGUGACGGCUAAAUACGUG
RNAcentral lists this ribosomal RNA (454 nucleotides) under uncultured bacterium. RNAcentral's name for it is "partial 16S ribosomal RNA". It matches the Rfam family "Bacterial small subunit ribosomal RNA", at positions 28 to 507 of the family's 1533-position model. The record is from RNAcentral.